AGAGGGUGCAAGCGUUAAUCGGAGUUACUGGGCGUAAAGGGCGCGUAGGCGGUUUAUUAAGUGAGAUGUGAAAUCCCUGGGCUUAACCUAGGAAAGUCAUCUUAGACUGGUCGACUGGAGUGCAGAAGAGGGUAGUGGAAUUUCCGGUGUAGCGGUGAAAUGCGUAGAGAUCGGAAGGAACAUCAGUGGCGAAGGCGGCUACCUGGACUGACACUGACGCUGAGGCGCGAAAGCGUGGGGAUCAAACAGG
RNAcentral lists this ribosomal RNA (250 nucleotides) under uncultured bacterium. RNAcentral describes it as "partial 16S ribosomal RNA". It matches the Rfam family "Bacterial small subunit ribosomal RNA", at positions 527 to 776 of the family's 1533-position model. The record is from RNAcentral.